GCCUUGGUAGCCUAGUGGUCAGGUGCCACCUCUGUAUUCCCGACCUGCAAGCUUAUAGUGGUGGCAACCCAGGUUCGAAUCCUGGUCAAGGCA
This 93-nucleotide transfer RNA is filed under the name Moniliophthora perniciosa FA553. It matches the Rfam family "tRNA". From Rfam's summary of the family: Transfer RNA (tRNA) molecules are approximately 80 nucleotides in length. The record is from Rfam by way of RNAcentral. Lineage: Eukaryota; Fungi; Basidiomycota; Agaricomycetes; Agaricales; Marasmiaceae.